This is a non-coding RNA of Mycena filopes, 79 nucleotides long. Lineage: Eukaryota; Fungi; Basidiomycota; Agaricomycetes; Agaricales; Mycenaceae. The record is from the annotation of a GenBank genome assembly.
GCGCGCUUGGUGUAACGGUAACACACGGCACUUAAUUCCAUUGAACGCUGCGUUCGGGGUUCGAAUCCCUGAGCCCGCC